This 290-nucleotide long non-coding RNA is filed under the name Pongo abelii (Sumatran orangutan). RNAcentral describes it as "lincRNA". Lineage: Eukaryota; Metazoa; Chordata; Mammalia; Primates; Hominidae. The record is from RNAcentral.
CAACUCUGAUUCUAUCACAAAACACUGCACCCAAGGCAACCAGGCAGCUUCCAAAGACCUCAUUCUCCUAAACACAUCCAUUCCUGUUGCUGGCAGAACUUUUGCAAACCCAUCCCAGUUGGAUGCAGCAUCAUCAGGGGGUGAUUACCCCCGAUUGCCAAAGAGGUUUCCAGCGCUGGAAGGAAAUUUGGAGAUCAAGGCUGAGUUGGCCUCAGCCAAGUGAAAUGGGAAUCAGGACCAUUACGAAGAAAUUCAAUUAAAAUAAAAGGCACAUCAUAAAUUUUGACUGG